UACGUAGGGUGCAAGCGUUGUCCGGAAUCACUGGGCGUAAAGGGCGUGUAGGCGGGAAGGAAAGUCAGAUGUGAAAUCCCCAGGCUCAACCUGGGAACUGCAUUUGAAACUCCCUUUCUUGAGUACCGGAGAGGAAAGUGGAAUUCCUGGUGUAGAGGUGAAAUUCGUAGAUAUCAGGAGGAACACCAGUGGCGAAGGCGGCUUUCUGGACGGUAACUGACGCUGAGACGCGAAAGCGUGGGGAGCAAACAGG
This 253-nucleotide ribosomal RNA is filed under the name uncultured bacterium. Its description in RNAcentral is "partial 16S ribosomal RNA". It matches the Rfam family "Bacterial small subunit ribosomal RNA", at positions 524 to 776 of the family's 1533-position model. The record is from RNAcentral.